Suricata suricatta (meerkat) is the source of this 129-nucleotide non-coding RNA. The record is from Ensembl. Lineage: Eukaryota; Metazoa; Chordata; Mammalia; Carnivora; Herpestidae.
GCUGGAGGACUAAGAAGGCGGAGUCUGGUGAAGCAAGACUCCGCUGAUACCAUCCUCCUAGAGAAAAGGGUGGGCGAGAGCAGCCCUCACUGGAGGGUGCUGUGGGGCUGACUGCACCGCCCGACAUGC